Molecule: ribosomal RNA, 450 nt
Filed under: uncultured bacterium
Lineage: Bacteria
Description: partial 16S ribosomal RNA
Rfam family: Bacterial small subunit ribosomal RNA
Source: RNAcentral
GUGGGGAAUAUUGGACAAUGGGCGCAAGCCUGAUCCAGCCAUGCCGCGUGUGUGAAGAAGGCCUUCGGGUUGUAAAGCACUUUUGUUGGGAAAGAAAUCCUGUCGGCUAAUACCCGGCGGGGAUGACGGUACCCAAAGAAUAAGCACCGGCUAACUUCGUGCCAGCAGCCGCGGUAAUACGAAGGGUGCAAGCGUUACUCGGAAUUACUGGGCGUAAAGCGUGCGUAGGUGGUUCGUUAAGUCAGAUGUGAAAGCCCCGGGCUCAACCUGGGAAUUGCAUUUGAUACUGGCGGACUAGAGUGAGGUAGAGGAGAGUGGAAUUCCCGGUGUAGCAGUGAAAUGCGUAGAGAUCGGGAGGAACAUCAGUUGCGAAGGCGGCUCUCUGGACCAGCACUGACACUGAGGCACGAAAGCGUGGGGAGCAAACAGGAUUAGAUACCCUGGUAGUCC